Molecule: ribosomal RNA, 1727 nt
Filed under: Triticum aestivum (bread wheat)
Lineage: Eukaryota; Viridiplantae; Streptophyta; Magnoliopsida; Poales; Poaceae
Description: partial small subunit ribosomal RNA
Source: RNAcentral
AAUUCUAUGCUGUGCAGUCGCUAGUUCGAGACCAGUUGGAGAGGCGGCUAAGAAGUAGCUCGUAUCGGUUACGUAGGUAGGUGGUACCGGCGGUGGCGGUCCCCUCGUUCGUGGCGUCCAAGCAGCAGCGGCGCGUGGUCGAAGCAGCGCCUGAGGGACUAGGAGGGGUGCGCGUUGCCGUCCGAGAAGCGCAGGCGGAAGCGCGAGCAGAUGCAGGUGUGGAAGCAGAGGGAGAGGCAGCGGCAGGAGAUGCGGGUGGGGGAGCGGUGGCGGCAGGAGGAGGCGCACAUGAGCGACCAGUCCCUGUUGCUGCCACCGGGGCCCUCCUCGGUCGUGCAGCAGAUGCGCAGCCUUUCGCUGCUGCUCUAGGCCCCUGUGCGGUUCUUCGACGAGCAGCAGAUGGAGCGCAUGGAGCGGUCGGUCGAGCGGUGCGCCCAGCGGCAGCGCGAGCGGCGGAGGCGCUGCACAGCCCCACUGGCCGCGGGCGCGAGCGACCGGUUCGAGCAGGCGCCGUUCCGCCGGCGCCCCUCCCAGGCGCCGUGGAACCGGUGGCGGCGGGAGCAGCGGCAGCAGCUCGUGCGCAGCAACCGCCGAGAAGAGCGCAGGGGGAGCGCAGCACCGCGACCACCUGCUCGCCACGGCGACGGGCCAGCCUGCGGCGUCGCAGAAAACACUGCCCGAUGCACGACAAGGAGGAGGAGGAGGAAGAGGAGAGCGUGGAGAAGGAGCGGCGCCACAAGGUUCACCGCUAGCGGCGCAGCCGCCGUCUACUUCCAAUGCCCCUUCCGCCUUGUGCGCGACGAAAGGCCGCCCGCACCGCCGAGUACCGGCUCUCCCGCUCCUCCUUCCUCCGGCGGCACUACCACCAGCACCGCUCGGAGGAAGGCCAACGGUAGAGGGCCCGCAUGCGCAAACGGUACAUGACAAGAGUCUCCCGUGGGCUACGGCCAUAGUAGCCACAGGAGGUACCUAUAGAAGAGGGCAGGCAGCCGCACGUCGAGAACAGGUGCCACCGCCGGCGCUACAAGAUGGUGGCCACGUACCUCGUAGUAGUACUAGGCCGACAGGAAGUUGGCUCCUGCUUUGAUCGGUAUCGAUUUAGGAGGCACUAACUAAUUCGUUACACUAUGAGUAGAACUUAAAUGUUAAAAUGUACAUUUCGUGCUAAUCAAGAAUGUCAUACUAACUAUAAAUUUUCAAAUUUUUUAUUAUAUAGGAAAAAACGCUAUAAGAAAUUAUUUAUUUUUGCUCGGCCGAGAGGUCAAACGUAAUCUUUUUUGGGCGGUCAUUGUCUCAAGUCGUGUAGUUUUACAUCUCUGUUUUCCAUCUCACUCAUUCGUCGUCUCGAUUUGAUGAAUAAUGUCAAGUUGUGUUAUGUAGUAGUGUAAGGUUCAUAGGCUUAACGUCGGCGAGUAGGUACGAAGGAAACGUAUACGAAGAAUGCGGUGGUGUAAGUCGUAAGCUCGAGAAACUAAUUAAACCGAUAAAGAAGUUACUUCAAAAAAGAGAAACUGCGACUGAUACCGUCCGAACACGGCCGGACCUGAACAUAACUUCUAGUCUCCUCUUUGGAUGUCUUGUCGCUAUGUUUCAAUAGACGAUUAAUGUCCCAACAACUUGCGUGGGGUUGUCUUCUUUCCGAUUUAAGAGAGUCUAUUUACUUUGUUGUAGCUGGGGGUUAGAGCCUCUUCUUAUCGAACAUGUAGUAACCCCGUAGCUAAUCUGGU